UGGUGAGAUGUCCGAGUGGCCGAAGGAGCACGCCUGGAAAGUGUGUAUACCGCAAGGUAUCGAGGGUUCGACUCCCUCUCUCACCGCCAA
This 90-nucleotide transfer RNA is filed under the name Cellvibrio japonicus Ueda107. Its description in RNAcentral is "tRNA-Ser". It matches the Rfam family "tRNA". Rfam says of the family: Transfer RNA (tRNA) molecules are approximately 80 nucleotides in length. Their secondary structure includes four short double-helical elements and three loops (D, anti-codon, and T loops). Further hydrogen bonds mediate the characteristic L-shaped molecular structure. tRNAs have two regions of fundamental functional importance: the anti-codon, which is responsible for specific mRNA codon recognition, and the 3' end, to which the tRNAs corresponding amino acid is attached (by aminoacyl-tRNA synthetases). tRNAs cope with the degeneracy of the genetic code in two manners: having more than one tRNA (with a specific anti-codon) for a particular amino acid; and 'wobble' base-pairing, i.e. permitting non-standard base-pairing at the 3rd anti-codon position. Lineage: Bacteria; Pseudomonadati; Pseudomonadota; Gammaproteobacteria; Cellvibrionales; Cellvibrionaceae. The record is from RNAcentral.